AUCUUAUUUUGAAUUCUGGAACAGAACCCUCCGAAUUGUACUAAAACGAGCUUCGCUCUACAAAAUUUUGUAAUACUCUUUAGAUUAAAAUGAGUGAAGAUAAUUCUUCUCUAAAUUUUGAGCAUUUAUUAGAUGCACAGCAAAUUGAUGCACAACCAAACACUGCUGAAGCUUUAAAUCCGGCUGCUGCGACAGAAGAUAAGUACAUAAUGGCCACAUAUGCAAAUGCAAGAAUAAUAAAGUAAAAUGUUUCACAGAGUUCAUUAUGUUGUAACUUUCAAUUUAGAAAUGGAAAAAAUGUUGAAGUUCAACCUUUAAGUUCUGCCCUACUUCAUUAUUUAUGAUUAGUUCGACUACUUUUGAAAUAUGGUUUUGAUUUAGUAAAUUUUCAUGAACUGAGGUUUACUUUAUUGAUCAUUAGCCAACAGUUUUGGUGAUGAAGUUGAAUUCAAGACCGUCAAGGUUAAUAGAAAAUUCAUGUUUACAGAGUUGUUAUUAAUCAUAAUCGAGUUGUUAAACCA
Molecule: RNA transcript, 521 nt
Organism: Hydra vulgaris (swiftwater hydra)
Lineage: Eukaryota; Metazoa; Cnidaria; Hydrozoa; Anthoathecata; Hydridae
Source: RefSeq, a predicted model, not a curated record